RNAcentral lists this ribosomal RNA (484 nucleotides) under uncultured bacterium. RNAcentral describes it as "partial 16S ribosomal RNA". It matches the Rfam family "Bacterial small subunit ribosomal RNA", at positions 28 to 523 of the family's 1533-position model. The record is from RNAcentral.
GACGAACGCUGGCGGCGUGCUUAACACAUGCAAGUCGAACGAUGAAGCCGGAGCUUGCUCUGGUGAAUUAGUGGCGAACGGGUGAGUAACACGUGAGUAACCUGCCCUUGACUCUGGGAUAACUGCGGGAAACUGUAGCUAAUACCGGAUACGACCCUCGGAGGCAUCUCCUGGGGGUGGAAAGAAUUUCGGUCAAGGAUGGACUCGCGGCCUAUCAGCUAGUUGGUGAGGUAAAGGCUCACCAAGGCGACGACGGGUAGCCGGCCGGAGAGGGUGAUAGGCCACACUGGGACCGAGACACGGCCCAGACUCCUACGGGAGGCAGCAGUGGGGAAUAUUGCACAAUGGGCGCAAGCCUGAUGCAGCAACGCCGCGUGAGGGACGACGGCCUUCGGGUUGUAAACCUCUUUUAGUAGGGAAGAAGCGAAAGUGACGGUACCUGCAGAAAAAGCACCGGCUAACUACGUGCCAGCCGCCGCGGUAA